Molecule: unclassified non-coding RNA, 255 nt
Filed under: Phaeomoniella sp.
Lineage: Eukaryota; Fungi; Ascomycota; Eurotiomycetes; Phaeomoniellales; Phaeomoniellaceae
Description: partial contains 5.8S ribosomal RNA, internal transcribed spacer 2, and large subunit ribosomal RNA
Source: RNAcentral
CGCAUAUUGCGCCCUUUGGUAUUCCGAAGGGCAUGCCUGUUCGAGCGUCAUUGUCAACUCUCAAGCCUGGCUUGUCAUUGGGUCCUUAUCGGUAAAAGAUAGGCCCGAAAAAUAACGGCGGUGUCACGAUUGACCCCUGGUGAAGCGAGCUUUAAGCAUACACCACGGUCGUUCGCGAAUGCCCGGCCUAAUGUUUAACCAAACAUGCUUUUCAAGGUUGACCUCGGAUCAGGUAGGAAUACCCGCUGAACUUAA